GAUGAACGCUGGCGGCGUGCCUAAUACAUGCAAGUCGAACGAACAGACGAUGAUCUUGCGCGUCUGUUGUUAGCGGCGGGCGGGAGAGUAACACGUGUAUAACCUACCUAUCAGACGGGUAAAACUUCGGGAAACGGGCGCUUAUACCAGAGAACAUGUUGAAGCACGGUGGGGGACGGUGAGAGACGGCUUUUCGGGCUCGUCUAGCGGGAUCCGCGCCUGAUUAGAUGGUUGUGAGGGUAACGGGUUACGAAGGGAACGAGGCGUAGACGAAGGGAGAGGGUGAUCGGCCACACUGGAACGGGGACACGGACCAGAGUACUACGGGAGGCAGCAGUAGGGAAUCUUACGCAAUGGUCGAAAGUAUGACGGAGCAACGCCGAGUGAGUGAAGACGGUCUCCGGAUCGUAAAACCCUGUUAUUAGGGAAGAACAAAUGUGUCCGUAAACAUGGCCGUAUUGACGGUACCUGAUAAGAAAGCACCGGCUAACUACGUG
Molecule: ribosomal RNA, 497 nt
Filed under: uncultured bacterium
Lineage: Bacteria
Description: partial 16S ribosomal RNA
Rfam family: Bacterial small subunit ribosomal RNA
Source: RNAcentral